Molecule: RNA transcript, 2376 nt
Organism: Daphnia pulex (common water flea)
Lineage: Eukaryota; Metazoa; Arthropoda; Branchiopoda; Diplostraca; Daphniidae
Exons: 6
Source: RefSeq, a predicted model, not a curated record
AUAACCGCAAGGCUUAAGAGGAGGGGUGAGAAAAAGUCGUAUAAAAGGCGAGAGAAAAGUCGACAGGGAUCAGUCGAGCGAGUAUCUCCGACACGGUAACAGCUGCAUUCCACUAUCUGCCAUCAGCUGCAUUCUUCAUCGUACUAUCAGUUCUCAAUCAUGGUAAACUAUGCUGCCGUGCUGUUGUUGGGUGUUGUGUCGUUGAUGGCUGGUUCAGCCACUGGCGUACCGAUGUAUCCUGGGUAUGGCGGAUACCAAAGCACUACACUGCCGCCUUAGGACACAACUUACGACACAACCAGUUGCUACACCGAUGCCCCCCAGGUACUUCACCACCAUGCUGCCCCGAGCUACUACACCGAAUCCCCGCAGUAUUAUUCUUCUCCGAGCUACACUACUAAAGGGUAGAGUACUACACCGAGGCUCCCCAACACUACACCACCAAGGCACCGGAGUACUACACCACUACAUAUCAUGGUAAUGAAGGAGAGAAAAGGUGAAAUAUUUCAGCAGCCGAUUGAGCAUCUCCGUUACGGCAACAGGAACUGCCGUGCACUAUUUGUCAUCAACUUCAUUCUUCGUCGCAUUAAAAGUUUUAAAUAAAGUAAACUAUGGCGUCGUGCUGCUGUUGGGUGUUGUAUUGUUGAUGGGUGGUUCAGCCAUGGUGUACCGAUGUCUCCUGGGUAUGGCGAGUACUAAAGCACAACACUGCCGUGCCGUCUAACUAAUUAGCAUCAACUUCCGCUGCUCCAGCUUACUACACUGAGGUUUACAAGUGCUACACCACCAUGGAUCCAGAGUAUUACACCACAGCUCAUGUUGCCCCGACCUACUACGCUGAAUGCCCGAAGUAUUUUUCUUCCCCGAGCUACACUACCAAAGGGUCGAGAACUACGUCGAGGCUCCCAAGUACUACAUCACCCAGGCACCGGAGUACAAAAACGGUUGAAUACUACACAGAAGCUAUCAUGGGAAACUAUGGUGUCGUGUUGCUGUGAGUGUUGUAAUCAUGAUGGCUGGAUCGACCACUGGUGUGCCGAUAUCUCCUGGGUAUGGUGGGCAUCAACAACAUACGCAACAACCGCUUACUACACUGGGACCUGCAAGUGCCAAACCACCAAGGCUUCAGAGUAUUACACCACAGUUUAUGUUGGCACGAGCUACUACGCAGAAGCUCCGGAAUAAUUUUCUUCCCCGCUUCACUACCUUCACCACGCCGCGUCCUUACUAAACAACAACAACAACGUCGUCAACACCUACUUACUAAACGAACGCCUCCAAGUACUACGCCAUAAAGGCUUCGACUACCACACCGAGGAUCAACCUGUUACACCGCCGAAGCGCCCAAGUACUGCACUACAACCUACAUUGCCCCAGCUUACACCACGAAGGCAGCGGAGUCCUACUACACCACGAAGGCAGCGGAGUCCUACUACACCACGAAGGCAGCGGAGUCCUACUACACCACGAAGGCAGCGGAGUCCUACUACACCACGAAGGCAGCGGAGUCCUACUACACCACGAAGGCAGCGGAGUCCUACUACACCACGAAGGCAGCGGAGUCCUACUACACCACGAAGGCAGCGGAGUCCUACUACACCACGAAGGCAGCGGAGUCCUACUACACCACGAAGGCAGCGGAGUCCUACUACACCACGAAGGCAGCGGAGUCCUACUACACCACGAAGGCAGCGGAGUCCUACUACACCACGAAGGCAGCGGAGUCCUACUACACCACGAAGGCAGCGGAGUCCUACUACACCACGAAGGCAGCGGAGUCCUACUACACCACGAAGGCAGCGGAGUCCUACUACACCACGAAGGCAGCGGAGUCCUACUACACCACGAAGGCAGCGGAGUCCUACUACACCACGAAGGCAGCGGAGUCCUACUACACCACGAAGGCAGCGGAGUCCUACUACACCACGAAGGCAGCGGAGUCCUACUACACCACGAAGGCAGCGGAGUCCUACUACACCACGAAGGCAGCGGAGUCCUACUACACCACGAAGGCAGCGGCAAGUUAAACCGAGGCUCCAGUUUACUACAAUACAACCUUCGCUGCUCCAUCGUACUACACCGAUGUUCCCAAGUACUACACCAUCAAGGCAUCCGAGUAUUACGCAUUACUUACGCACAAUCAUUACUACACCGAAGCUUCGAACGCAUCACUCUGCCCCGAGUUACUACACCACUAAGGCAGUCAAAUAUUACACCACAAACUACUAUCCCGCAAUUUUCUAAAAGGAAAUUUCUAAAUACUAGGGCCGGAAAUUCUUGAGGUUAUUUAUAUAUGUCGGUUAUUUUCGUGGUCAUUGGUUAUUGGGAAUUAAUUAUUGAUCUUACAUGAAAAAAUAAAAGUUUUAAUAUGGGUAA